Molecule: ribosomal RNA, 207 nt
Filed under: uncultured bacterium
Lineage: Bacteria
Description: partial 16S ribosomal RNA
Rfam family: Bacterial small subunit ribosomal RNA
Source: RNAcentral
UCUGUAGGCGGCGCAGCAAGUCAGAUGUGAAAGCCCGGGGCUCAACCCCGGAACUGCAUCCGAUACUGCUGUGCUGGAGGAUCGGAGGGGAGUCUGGAAUUCACGGUGUAGCAGUGAAAUGCGUAGAUAUCGUGAGGAACACUAGUGGCGAAGGCGAGACUCUGGACGAUUCCUGAGCUGAGAGACGAAGGCCAGGGGAGACAAAAA